Molecule: ribosomal RNA, 253 nt
Filed under: uncultured bacterium
Lineage: Bacteria
Also listed under: 1 other name
Description: partial 16S ribosomal RNA
Rfam family: Bacterial small subunit ribosomal RNA
Source: RNAcentral
GACGAGCCUCACAAACGUUAUUCGGAAUUACUGGGCUUAAAGGGUGCGUAGGCGGCGCGGAAAGUUGGGUGUGAAAUCCCUCGGCUCAACCGAGGAACUGCGCCCAAAACUACCGUGCUCGAGGAAGAUAGAGGUGAGCGGAACUUACGGUGGAGCGGUGAAAUGCGUUGAUAUCGUAAGGAACACCCGUGGCGAAAGCGGCUCACUGGGUCUUCUCUGACGCUGAUGCACGAAAGCUAGGGGAGCAAACGGG